UACAGAGGGGGCAAGCGUUAUCCGGAAUGAUUGGGCGUAAAGCGUCCGCAGGUGGCUAUGUAAGUCUGCUGUUAAAGAGUCUAGCUCAACUAGAUAAGAGCAGUGGAAACUACAUGGCUAGAGUGCGUUCGGGGCAGAGGGAAUUCCUGGUGUAGCGGUGAAAUGCGUAGAGAUCAGGAAGAACACCGGUGGCGAAGGCGCUCUGCUAGGCCGCAACUGACACUGAGGGACGAAAGCUAGGGGAGCGAAUGGG
RNAcentral lists this ribosomal RNA (253 nucleotides) under uncultured bacterium. Its description in RNAcentral is "partial 16S ribosomal RNA". It matches the Rfam family "Bacterial small subunit ribosomal RNA", at positions 524 to 776 of the family's 1533-position model. The record is from RNAcentral.